RNAcentral lists this ribosomal RNA (445 nucleotides) under uncultured Bacteroidota bacterium. Its description in RNAcentral is "bacterial SSU rRNA". It matches the Rfam family "Bacterial small subunit ribosomal RNA", at positions 354 to 796 of the family's 1533-position model. Lineage: Bacteria; Pseudomonadati; Bacteroidota. The record is from RNAcentral.
GUGAGGAAUAUUGGUCAAUGGGCGCAAGCCUGAACCAGCCAUCCCGCGUGCAGGAAGACGGCCCUAUGGGUUGUAAACUGCUUUUCCAGGGGACGAAUAGUUUCUACGUGUAGAGACCUGACGGUACCUUGGGAAUAAGCAUCGGCUAACUCCGUGCCAGCAGCCGCGGUAAUACGGAGGAUGCGAGCGUUAUCCGGAUUCAUUGGGUUUAAAGGGUGCGUAGGCGGACUAUUAAGUCAGUGGUGAAAUCCUCCCGCUUAACGGGAGAACUGCCAUUGAUACUGAUAGCCUUGAGUUUGGUUAAGGUAGGCGGAAUGUGUAAUGUAGCGGUGAAAUGCUUAGAUAUUACACAGAACACCAAUUGCGUAGGCAGCUUACUGAGCCGACACUGACGCUGAGGCACGAAAGCGUGGGGAUCGAACAGGAUUAGAUACCCUGGUAGUCC